UACGAAGGGGGCUAGCGUUGUUCGGAAUUACUGAGCGUAAAGCGCGCGCAGGUGGUCUUUCAAGUCAGUGGUGAAAGCCCGGAGCUCAACUCCGGAAAUGCCAUUGAAACUGUAAGACUUGAGGAUGAGAGAGGUGAGUGGAAUUCCCAGUGUAGAGGUGAAAUUCGUAGAUAUUGGGAAGAACACCGGUGGCGAAGGCGGCUCACUGGCUCAUAUCUGACGCUCAGGCGCGACAGCGUGGGGAUCAAACAGG
RNAcentral lists this ribosomal RNA (253 nucleotides) under uncultured bacterium. RNAcentral describes it as "partial 16S ribosomal RNA". It matches the Rfam family "Bacterial small subunit ribosomal RNA", at positions 524 to 776 of the family's 1533-position model. The record is from RNAcentral.